RNAcentral lists this ribosomal RNA (30 nucleotides) under Cuscuta japonica (Japanese dodder). RNAcentral describes it as "partial 18S ribosomal RNA". Lineage: Eukaryota; Viridiplantae; Streptophyta; Magnoliopsida; Solanales; Convolvulaceae. The record is from RNAcentral.
UCGGAUGCUCUUACGUUUAGUCUGACAGCA